ACUCAAAUGAAUUGACGGGGGCCCGCACAAGCAGCGGAGCGUGCGGUUUAAUUCGAUGGUACGCGAAGAACCUUACCCAGACUUGACAUGCGAGUGGUAGGAACCUGAAAGGGAACCGACCCGCAAGGGAGCUCGUACAGGUGUUGCACGGCUGUCGUCAGCUCGUGUCGUGAGAUGUUGGGUUAAGUCCCGCAACGAGCGCAACCCUCGGGGUCUGUUGUACCUCUCAGACCCGACUGCCGAGAGAAACUCGGAGGAAGGUGGGGAUGACGUCAAGUCAGCGUGGCCUUUAUGUCUGGGGCAACACGCACGCUACAAUCGCCGGUCACAGCGGGUCGCGACAACGCAAGUUGAAGCUAAUCCCUUAAAACCGGCGUCAGUUCAGAUCGGAGGCUGCAACUCGCCUCCGUGAAGUCGGAGUUGCUAGUAACCGCAGGUCAGCACACUGCGGUGAAUAUGUUCCCGGGCCUUGUACACACCGCCCGU
This 486-nucleotide ribosomal RNA is filed under the name uncultured bacterium. RNAcentral describes it as "partial 16S ribosomal RNA". It matches the Rfam family "Bacterial small subunit ribosomal RNA", at positions 899 to 1397 of the family's 1533-position model. The record is from RNAcentral.